UACGGAGGGUGCAAGCGUUAAUCGGAAUUACUGGGCGUAAAGCGCGCGUAGGCGGCUUGGUCAGUUGGGUGUGAAAGCCCCGGGCUCAACCUGGGAACUGCAGUUGAUACUGGCCGACUAGAGUAUGAAAGAGGGAGGUAGAAUUCCAUGUGUAGCGGUGAAAUGCGUAGAUAUAUGGAGGAAUACCAGUGGCGAAGGCGGCCUCCUGGUUCAAUACUGACGCUGAGGUGCGAAAGCGUGGGGAUCAAACAGG
RNAcentral lists this ribosomal RNA (253 nucleotides) under uncultured bacterium. Its description in RNAcentral is "partial 16S ribosomal RNA". It matches the Rfam family "Bacterial small subunit ribosomal RNA", at positions 524 to 776 of the family's 1533-position model. The record is from RNAcentral.